This 1478-nucleotide ribosomal RNA is filed under the name Campylobacter jejuni. Its description in RNAcentral is "partial 23S ribosomal RNA". It matches the Rfam family "Bacterial large subunit ribosomal RNA", at positions 1469 to 2925 of the family's 2925-position model. The record is from RNAcentral. Lineage: Bacteria; Pseudomonadati; Campylobacterota; Epsilonproteobacteria; Campylobacterales; Campylobacteraceae.
AGGACGCUUAGGGCUAAGGGGGCUAGCGGAUGGAAGUGCUAGUCUAAGGUCGUAGGAGGUUAUACAGGAAAAUCCGUAUAACAAUACUCCGAGAACUGAAAGGCUUUUUGAAGUCUUCGGAUGGAUAGAAGAACCCCUGAUGCCGUCGAGCCAAGAAAAGUUUCUAAGUUUAGCUAAUGUUGCCCGUACCGUAAACCGACACAGGUGGGUGGGAUGAGUAUUCUAAGGCGCGUGGAAGAACUCUCUUUAAGGAACUCUGCAAAAUAGCACCGUAUCUUCGGUAUAAGGUGUGGUUAGCUUUGUAUUAGGAUUUACUCCGAAAGCGAAGAAACUUACAACAAAGAGUCCCUCCCGACUGUUUACCAAAAACACAGCACUCUGCUAACUCGUAAGAGGAUGUAUAGGGUGUGACGCCUGCCCGGUGCUCGAAGGUUAAUUGAUGGGGUUAGCAUUAGCGAAGCUCUUGAUCGAAGCCCGAGUAAACGGCGGCCGUAACUAUAACGGUCCUAAGGUAGCGAAAUUCCUUGUCGGUUAAAUACCGACCUGCAUGAAUGGCGUAACGAGAUGGGAGCUGUCUCAAAGAGGGAUCCAGUGAAAUUGUAGUGGAGGUGAAAAUUCCUCCUACCCGCGGCAAGACGGAAAGACCCCGUGGACCUUUACUACAGCUUGACACUGCUACUUGGAUAAGAAUGUGCAGGAUAGGUGGGAGGCUUUGAGUAUAUGACGCCAGUUGUAUAGGAGCCAUUGUUGAGAUACCACUCUUUCUUAUUUGGGUAGCUAACCAGCUUGAGUUAUCCUCAAGUGGGACAAUGUCUGGUGGGUAGUUUGACUGGGGCGGUCGCCUCCCAAAUAAUAACGGAGGCUUACAAAGGUUGGCUCAGAACGGUUGGAAAUCGUUCGUAGAGUAUAAAGGUAUAAGCCAGCUUAACUGCAAGACAUACAAGUCAAGCAGAGACGAAAGUCGGUCUUAGUGAUCCGGUGGUUCUGUGUGGAAGGGCCAUCGCUCAAAGGAUAAAAGGUACCCCGGGGAUAACAGGCUGAUCUCCCCCAAGAGCUCACAUCGACGGGGAGGUUUGGCACCUCGAUGUCGGCUCAUCGCAUCCUGGGGCUGGAGCAGGUCCCAAGGGUAUGGCUGUUCGCCAUUUAAAGCGGUACGCGAGCUGGGUUCAGAACGUCGUGAGACAGUUCGGUCCCUAUCUGCCGUGGGCGUAAGAAGAUUGAAGAGAUUUGACCCUAGUACGAGAGGACCGGGUUGAACAAACCACUGGUGUAGCUGUUGUUCUGCCAAGAGCAUCGCAGCGUAGCUAAGUUUGGAAAGGAUAAACGCUGAAAGCAUCUAAGCGUGAAGCCAACUCUAAGAUGAAUCUUCUCUAAGCUCUCUAGAAGACUACUAGUUUGAUAGGCUGGGUGUGUAAUGGAUGAAAGUCCUUUAGCUGACCAGUACUAAUAGAGCGUUUGGCUUAUCUUUAAUAAAGCAU